UUUUCUCUCCCUUUGUGGGAAAUAUCCCACAGCAUUAUUUGUACAUAUAUGUAAAUAGUUGGGAGUAACAAGUUCAGUAUCAUAAACUACUUAUUAACAAUAAAUAAGUAAUAAAAGAAGAAAUAGAAGAGAUACGAGUGAAGCGAAACGUGUUUGACUCGGGUGGUUCGAUCAACCGCGGGUGGAGGCUACGAGGAAGGUGAGGUGCUCGUGGGGAGUUAGUUACACUCCAACCGCCAAGGACUUUACAUUAACAAGAAGAAAGUGGUGUGCAAAUAUCUGGACAUUACGAGUACGUACACGUGGAUGUACUGCAGUGGAUAUACUUCAGUUGCAGUGUGCAGACAGAGAGCUGAUAAUACGACGAUCCAGUCCACGGAGUAAACUACGUCCGCUGCCCUAAUGAAACCACUGGCCAGUGGGUUGGAUUGGGGGACUUAAGGGUUUGCGUUACGAGGCAGAACAUACACUCAACAACAAGGUUGUUGGAUAAUCCUCACCACUAUCGAUGGCCCACUGACAACCAGGUCUGGGAACAUGUAAGGGUUGUUGGAUAAUCCUCACCAAUAUCGAUGGCCCACUGACAACCAGGUCUGGGAACAUGUAAGGCGGCCCACUCCAGCCUCCUCGCCGGGUCUGCCACACGCCACCACAGAUAAAGACAUUCAUUCGGCCCCCUCACACUUCGAUACUACGACCCACAGCUUGGAAAUCCAUCUCACAAUCACGUGGACUGUAUGAAGCAAAGAAGACACGCGGAACUCCCUGCUUAGAGGACGUGAAGGCAGAGAAGCGUGCAGGGUCAUAAAACAGGGGGAUGCGAGGUAUGGUAUGAGGCAGGGGAGGGAGAGGACAUGGGUCAAGCGAGGAGCUCAGCCCUCACUCACUCUCCCAAGGGGGUACUGGCGCAGCAGGGGAGCAAACUUCACGCUACGUUAUUUUCGCGUUGAUUCCCAAGACCAGUGUUUCAGUUCCCCUUCGAGUGACUGCAAGGCGGACGGGCGGAAGUGCGGAGGGCGGUGGUGGGAGUGUAUGGGAUGGCCAGGGAAGGGCAGAGAAGGACACGUGAUGAUUGGAAUGAUAAAUGAGGCGCCGGCAACUCAAGACUCAGGUUCAGUCGGUCGUAAACGCACCAGCGAUCCACAAGGAGCUGGGGACAGGUGGCUUAAACGACGACGAGAGGAGGGAGGAGGAGGAGGAGGGAAGAGGAGAAGGUGAAGUCUCCUCGGGUGCAGCGGCGGGGCAGCGCUGGAACACAGGUGCGACCAACAAGGGAGGCUACCUGACGGACCCACAACGCUUGGCCGAAGAGAAACAGAAGCGAGGGGAAGGACUGAAGGACAAGAGAGGGUCGGAGAGUGAAAGGAUGAUGUAAACACACACACACACACACACACACACACACACACACACACACACACACACACACACACACACUUUAAACUUACGGACGGAUAUGAUGCAGGAAGUGACACAGUAAAAUAUAUACAGAGAGAGAGAGAGAGCUUUAAAACUGUCCAUUCAUUCAACUACUAUUUUUCUUCUCUCAUUCUUUCCACUUUCUGUAACUUUUUUUUGCAAGAUGGAGAGGGAAAAUUGAGUUCAUAACCAGGAAAGUGAAGCCAAAGGGGGAAUAAAGUUGCACCAUC
This 1649-nucleotide long non-coding RNA is filed under the name Portunus trituberculatus (swimming crab). RNAcentral's name for it is "uncharacterized LOC123504315". The record is from RNAcentral. Lineage: Eukaryota; Metazoa; Arthropoda; Malacostraca; Decapoda; Portunidae.